RNAcentral lists this ribosomal RNA (116 nucleotides) under Pteropus alecto (black flying fox). The record is from RNAcentral. Lineage: Eukaryota; Metazoa; Chordata; Mammalia; Chiroptera; Pteropodidae.
GUCGACGGCCAUGCCACCUUGAACAAGCCCGAUGUCUGAUCUUGGAAACUAAGCAGGGUCAGGUAUGGUUAGUACUUAGAUGGGAGACCACCUAGGAAGACCAGGUGCCAUAAGCA